GGAGCCGCCCGGGUGGCCGCGGCCCGGAUACGGGCCGAGGAAAGUCGGGACUCCACAGGGCAGGACGCUGGGGAAAUCCCAGGCGGGGCGACCCGCGGAAAGUGCAACAGAAAGCAAACCGCCCCCGGCGACGGGGGUAAGGGUGAAACGGUGAGGUAAGAGCUCACCAGCGUGCCGGGUGACCGGUGCGGCUAGGUAAACCCCGUCCGGAGCAAGGCCAAGCAGGGGGCACGGGCUGCCCGUCCACAUUGCCCCCGGGUAGGCCGCAAGAGGCGAGCGGAGACGCUCGCCCCAGAUGGAUGGCCACCGCCUCGCAAGCGAGGUACAGAAUCCCGCUUACAGGGCGGCUCCUGAG
RNAcentral lists this RNase P RNA (355 nucleotides) under Actinomycetota bacterium. RNAcentral's name for it is "RNase P RNA component class A". It matches the Rfam family "Bacterial RNase P class A". Rfam says of the family: Ribonuclease P (RNase P) is a ubiquitous endoribonuclease, found in archaea, bacteria and eukarya as well as chloroplasts and mitochondria. Its best characterised activity is the generation of mature 5'-ends of tRNAs by cleaving the 5'-leader elements of precursor-tRNAs. Cellular RNase Ps are ribonucleoproteins. Lineage: Bacteria; Bacillati; Actinomycetota. The record is from RNAcentral.